This 610-nucleotide ribosomal RNA is filed under the name fungal sp. KFRI4066. Its description in RNAcentral is "partial 28S ribosomal RNA". It matches the Rfam family "Eukaryotic large subunit ribosomal RNA", at positions 76 to 646 of the family's 3401-position model. Lineage: Eukaryota; Fungi. The record is from RNAcentral. RNAcentral also lists the same sequence under 3 other names.
UCCCCUAGUAACGGCGAGUGAAGAGGGAAAAGCCCAAAUUUGUAAUCUGGCUUUUUUUUAUAAAAAUCCGAGUUGUAAUUUUGAGAACUGUUUUCUGUGCUGGACCAUGUACAAGUCUGUUGGAAAACAGCAUCAUUGAGGGUGAUAAUCCCGUACAUGAUAUGGACUACCAGUGCAAUAUGAUACAGUCUCUAAGAGUCGAGUUGUUUGGGAAUGCAGCUCAAAGUGGGUGGUAAAUUCCAUCUAAGGCUAAAUAUAGGUGAGAGACCGAUAGCAAACAAGUACCGUGAGGGAAAGAUGAAAAGAACUUUGGAAAGAGAGUUAACAGUACGUGAAAUUGUUAAAAGGGAAACAUUUGAAGUUAGACUUGUUAUUAUUGGUUCAGCUUCUUCUUUUUUUUUUAAUUAGGAGUCUAUUCCAAUGGUUGACAGACCAGCAUCAAUUUUUGAGUGUUAGAUAAGGGUCUUGAGAAUGUGGCAACUUUGGUUGUGUUAUAGCUCUUGGCUUGAUAUAAUGCUUAGGAUUGAGGAACGCAGUGAGCUUUUUCAUUAAGUGGAUUCUUUUAGGGGAAUCUUCAUCACUACGGAUGUUGGUGUAAUAGCUUUAAAUG